This is a long non-coding RNA of Sceloporus undulatus (fence lizard), 1124 nucleotides long. RefSeq lists it as uncharacterized. The record is from RefSeq and is a predicted model, not a curated record. Lineage: Eukaryota; Metazoa; Chordata; Lepidosauria; Squamata; Phrynosomatidae. The transcript is spliced from 2 exons.
UGUUAAGCAAUAGUCCUAUAUGUUAAAAGCUAUCUGUGCUAUUCGUCCCUACUGUCCUGUGAAAGCAGAGCUUGGAAGUUUUUUGGAGGAAAGGAGUGGGGUGGGGACUCAGCUCCCAGAAUCCUGGAUUUGACGGAUUUGUUGAUGGAGGCUGGUUUGAAAUAUUUUUUUUCAUUGCUGAGGCUGAAGGACUGCUGAAGCUGAAGGAUCUUGCAUUCAGGCAUUAGAGAGUGGGUCUGUGCUCCAGCUUAUUUUUGCAUUGCUAGCAACAGCCACCUUUUUCAACUCAGACUGGUCCAUUCCUUUUGAUAUUGUCUGUGUUGGGAGGGCAGUUUUCCCACCCUGGCAAGGACUUCUUUAUGUCUCCUCCUACUUUACUGGGCUAUAUAUUAGUGGUCACAAAAUAGCUUACUUUAUGCUGUAUCCCGCCCCCCUCGGCCCGGCCCCAGUUGUCUUCAAAUAUUGUAUUAUAUAUUUCAGGGCAUACUGGAAAGCCUUGAUCCUACCCCAUACCCACACAUACUCUCUUUUGCUCCUAGAAUUUAUAUUUUGGUCACAUAAUGUGGACAGAAGUCUACAAAGGCAGAAUAGCUGGGGAAAAUAACAAAAUAUAAACUCCCUGAUAAAAUACUGCUUUAGCAGUCCCAGAGGCAGCCUGGGGAAAGGACAAAUUCCCUUAGUUUUCUUUUGAUGUGGUGGCCCUUAUACAUACCAUCACUGUCUUAUUGCUUUCCCUUUAUAGCAGCUGUGCAUGCCUGGUAUGUCCAGAUGAUGAAAAAAAAGUCAGAUCCACACCAUAAACAAGCCUGUCUAAUCUUUCCUGUUUCAUGUGACUUCAGACAGUUAUUUGUUCAUCCGAAGGUGUUUGCUGAGUCUUUGACGUAAUAAAGGGAACCAGGGGUCCCAGUGCAAUUUCUUCAAUAUCUUCUGGGUUACACUAACACAGUUUUUCUUUUUCUUUUUAAACACUAUCCUAACUACCUGAAAUCUAGGAGGCUCAGAACCUGCAAUGCCUGAUCUCCCAGUGCCACCCAUCAGUGCACCUAGUCGCUGGACCUGGGAUCAAGAAGAAGAAAGAAAAAGGCAAGAGAAGUGGCAGGCAGAACAGGAGCGCUUGCUUCAGG